GAUGAACGCUGGCGGCGUGCCUAAUACAUGCAAGUCGAGCGAACAGACGAGGAGCUUGCUCCUCUGACGUUAGCGGCGGACGGGUGAGUAACACGUGGAUAACCUACCUAUAAGACUGGGAUAACUUCGGGAAACCGGAGCUAAUACCGGAUAAUAUAUUGAACCGCAUGGUUCAAUAGUGAAAGACGGUUUUGCUGUCACUUAUAGAUGGAUCCGCGCCGCAUUAGCUAGUUGGUAAGGUAACGGCUUACCAAGGCAACGAUGCGUAGCCGACCUGAGAGGGUGAUCGGCCACACUGGAACUGAGACACGGUCCAGACUCCUACGGGAGGCAGCAGCAGGGAAUCUUCCGCAAUGGGCGAAAGCCUGACGGAGCAACGCCGCGUGAGUGAUGAAGGUCUUCGGAUCGUAAAACUCUGUUAUUAGGGAAGAACAAAUGUGUAAGUAACUAUGCACGUCUUGACGGUACCUAAUCAGAAAGCCACGGCUACUACGUG
This 496-nucleotide ribosomal RNA is filed under the name uncultured bacterium. Its description in RNAcentral is "partial 16S ribosomal RNA". It matches the Rfam family "Bacterial small subunit ribosomal RNA", at positions 28 to 507 of the family's 1533-position model. The record is from RNAcentral.